Molecule: long non-coding RNA, 301 nt
Filed under: Actinidia chinensis (golden kiwifruit)
Lineage: Eukaryota; Viridiplantae; Streptophyta; Magnoliopsida; Ericales; Actinidiaceae
Description: long non-coding RNA (ACHI_LNC001897)
Source: RNAcentral
GAAUCUCAAGCCCUUACCAAACCCUAAAAUCAAACUCCAAGCAAGAAAAACUAAAAUCUCUGCAAAACAGUAUUAAUUUCUGAAAUUGAUGUUCAAUUUUGAAGCUGUGGAGAUGUUUCAUGGAAAACCCAUUUGUGGUUUAGGUCAAAAUUGAUACUCUAUGUCUCUCUCUCCACAAAUGUAAACCAAAUAACACAUCUUUUUGCCAACUCAGAAAAACUAAGCAAGAAAAACCCUUAUUCAACACCACUAAACUAAAAAUGGAUUUGAUAUCUCAGCACCCAAAAAUUCAAAAUUUUCU